This 20056-nucleotide long non-coding RNA is filed under the name Homo sapiens (human). Its description in RNAcentral is "HSALNT0328391". The record is from RNAcentral. Lineage: Eukaryota; Metazoa; Chordata; Mammalia; Primates; Hominidae.
AGCAGCUGCCAGCCACGGCUCCGCCGGCCCCGCACCCGGGCGCGGCCAGGCCGUGAGGGGUGCGCUCUGCCUCUCUGAGCCCAGCCUGCCGGCCGGCCCGCUCACCUUGUGGCUCUGGUUGUGCUUUUGGUGUUAUAAAUGAAGUUCAUCAUUAAACCCAAGAACACAGGUAUUUUCUCCAGAGGGCCAUAGUCUUCAUAUACUUCAGCACUCCAUGAAGGCUUUCUUGGUACUGUUCAAAGGCCAGAGGAUCUACUACCACAGAACCAUUCUAGAUGUGAGUUCCUAGUGUGAAAGGACUGGGAGUUAACAGAAGAGCCACAGUGAGGUAGAGUUUGCUGUGUUUAUAUUUGCAUCGAAGUUAUUUUAAAAUAUUAUUUUCUCUCUCCUGCACACAAUAUUUUUGAUUCUAUAGCAUACAUAGAAUUUAUAUGUUUGAUUCUAUAGCAUAAGUUCAUUUCUCCUCAAUCAGCCCUUUUGGCCAUUUUGUUAAAGAUCAGAGGUGUAGCCACAUUAAGGAAAAGCAUUCGAAUCUGGGUUAGCCCUAUCCAUGGUGGCAGUUAUUACCUGAGUGCCAGUGCCAGGAUUGGAUAGAGGGGGUAUACAGCAGCCUGUCCUGAAUGGUGUCUGAACAGGACCAUUUCUGGUUCAAUGUAGCCCUCCUUGGUUUUAACCUGUAUCACAUGAGCUUGCCUAAAAGGAACAAUAUCCCUUAAUAUUGAAAAUUCGCUAACACGGCAAUUCUUAAAUUAUCAUGCGCACAACCCUGGAAGUCCUGAUAUCUUUUCAGGGUGUCUGCAAAGCCGGCAUGAUUUCGUAAUAAUCCUCACAUGAUUUGGCUUUUUCACUUUGUUGAUAUUUAGAUUGAUGGUACAAAAGCUAUUGGUGGUGCCUUAGUUACACCAAACUGUACUAGAAGUCAUUUUAUGCUUCACCCUUACAUACUCAUAAUUUUUUAAAAAAUUCCAGAUGCAAUUAAAAAUACUCUUGGUGAAGCAGUAAAAAUUAAAUAUAGACCCUUGAAUAUAUGCCUUUUAAGUUGGGUGAUGAAAUGUGAAGUUUAUAUAAAGCACUUUACUGCAUGCCAAAUUAUCAGGCUUUUCCUGAAGAAAAAUAUUUGUGUAAUUGUUUGAGUUGCAAACUGAACUGGUUGCUUUUUCAUCGAACAUCAUUUUUACUUGAAAAAGAAAAAGACUUAUGGAAAAACUGUGGUUAUUCUGACCUGAGUAUUUGGCAGAAAAAAAAUUCUUGAAAAUGAAUAAAAUGAGCCUGUCACUUCAAGGAAAACAACUGAUAGUCUUUGUUGCCAGUGAUGAAGUUUGAGCUUUCAAGUGAAAUUAAAGUUUCAGAAAACUUGUAUCUACUACCAUGAGGUUGAUGGUUUCUUAAUAUUUAGAGGUUUUAUUAUGAAAUUAGGAAUAUUAACUAAUGCAUUUUAAAAAAUUAUUGUAUGAUGAAAUGUGUCAAUAUUUGGAACAUUUGCAUAACUCAGUGAAUCAAUGUUGUCCAAAUAGCAAUGCUUGGGGGUUACAAAAUUACGCGUGGGUAAAAACUCUAUUCAAAGUUCAAGAUAGACCAAUAGAUUUUAAUUUAGGAGAGCCGAAAAAGUUUAUUGGUAUAGUUUCAGAGUCUACAUUGUAUCUUUUAAAAAACAUCUUGUUGAAUCUUGGUGUAGUAUCACAGGAGAAUAUCCACAACUAUGUUCCUUCCUUUUUCAGCCAUAUCUUUGUGAAGCUGCCUUUUCUUCAUAUACUUCAACCAAAAUUUCAUAUUGCAGCAGGUUGAAUGCUGAAGUACAUAUCAGAAUCCAGCAUUCUUCUAUUAAGCCAGACACUGAAGAGAUUUGCAAAAAUAUAAAACAAUGCAAUUCUUCUCAUUAACAUUAUGUUUUGGAAAUAUAAUUAUUUUUCAUAAAAAUAUGUUAAUUAUGUUAAUAUACAGUGGGUUUAUUACUGUAAUUUUAUAAUUAAUAAGUAGAUAUUUAAUUUUUUCCAUUUUUAAAUACAGAAAGUUUCAAUAGAUAUAAUCCACAAACAAAAACCCUUUGGGGUCCUCAAUAAUGUUGAGUGUGAGUGGUGUAUGAUUCCAAAAACUUUAAGAACUGUUAUCCUAAUAAAUUAUUCUUGGAUAAUUUUGCAUGUGAAUAUCAUGAGGCUCUCCCAAGCAAGGUAAUGUAUUCAGCAAUAGAUUAGGAUGACCUCCUGAUCUGAAUGUAAAAUUGGGUAUUAUGGUCAAUAACAGUCACACAAAUAAUUAAUUAAGAGAUGUCAAAAAGAAAAACACAGCUUUCAAAAGCCUCUUGAGUAUUUCGCUCAUGUGUGCCUGACUGUUGGACGUGGUUACUGAGGUGCGCUGGUGAGUGCAGCUCUUGGUCUCCUAGGGGAGCUGUUUGCUUUGCCUUGUCACACACAUGCUCUUUUGAUCUCAGAUACUAGUCUCUGUCUGGCUUCCUUGUGGUUAAUACAUCUGACAUAUGGCUUGUUUCUUUGUCUACCUUUUAUUGUGUUAUUUCAUCAGGCUACUUUGAAAUCAGUAUAAGCAAUAAUCGGCAGACUACAAUUCGGUUUUAAGUGCAUUUUCUUAUCAAGAUACAUAGAGUUAUAUGGCAUUCUUAUGAUCCAGUGCUUCAACUGAUGGCAUAUAAUGUGGCGUUAAAUAAAUCUAUACAGCCUGACAUAGUUAAGUGUACUAUUAGCUGACAUUGAACAUAAAAACAGAAGAGUGAAAAAGGUGUAUGAGGUCUUCUUAGAUAACUAAGCAGCCGAAUGAAAAUACAGAAAGAUAUUUCACUGCUGCUAUUCUAAUGUCGCUACUUCACUUUUUCUAAGCUUUGGAUUUCUCUCCUCAUUUCCUCUUUCCAUAGGAUUCUGUUCUCAGCUAGUGUUUGAUACCACCUAAGGGUUCUGUCAGUUUAGUGCUCACACAGUUUAUCAUGCAUCUUCACCACUUAUUAGCUAUGCGACCUUGAUCAGGUGAAUUCUGCUGUUUGUGCUACUACUGUAUUUCCCUCUCUGUAAAGUGGGGGAUAAUAAUAAGUGUAUCUACAACACUGAAUGAAGAAUAAGUGAAACCAUCCAUGUACUGGGCUCAGCAUCUUGACUACCACCCCCAGUGGAUCCUCCCUGGGCAUCAGCUAUUAUUCUUCUCUGCUUUUAUUCAUUGGCACUUUCAUCUGAUUUGCACAAAGAACUAUAUUAAUUAAUUAAACAAAUACAUAUUUAAUGGCUAUUGCAUACCAGGCAUUGUGCUAGGAUGAGGGAUACAACGAUGAAUAAAAACAGUGCCCAUGAGAGCAGAGGGCAUGUCCACAUAGUAUUUAAUACAUUAUGCUAUUUCUGGCCUCUAUCACAGUGUCUGACAGAGAGUGGGUGUUUCAUCCAAAUAAGCAAAUAAUCAACCCUAUGAGGUAAAUGAAAUUAUUAUUCCCAUUUUACAGAUGAAGAAACUGAGACUUAGAAAGGAAGAGUAAUCCAUCCAGUGACACCCAGGUAGCUAGUCACAAAAUCCCUCCCUAGGGAUGGAGGAAGAAAAUGCUAACACUGCCAAUUCAUGCUGCUUGAGAAGGGUUAAUCUGGCUUCCCAAUUUCUAAUUUCCAAAGCACAUCAUGGACCUGCAGAUAAACUAAAUGCUCAACAACACUGUCCAUAAGUACUCAUUGAUGUUCACCUUGUGUACAAGACACGGUGCUAAUCUUUGGGAUACUGCAGUUAACCUGAGAGACAUUAGAGGAGCUUACAUUCCGUUCGGGGAGACAGCUAUAAACAACUGGUUAUGUGUGUGGUUGCCUUGUGAUAAACACUAUGUAGACACAUAUACGAGAGGUUCUGACUUAGGCUGCUAUUAUGAUGAUCAGAAAGGCUUCCCUGAGGAAAGAAUUUAUAAACUAAGCUCUGAAGGGUGAAUAGGAAAGAAGUAACUAGAAAAGAAAUGGAGGAAAGCAUUUCUAGCAGAAUACCAUGUUCAAGAACUUGGAACAUUAGCAUACCGGAGGAAGGCUAGUGUGCUAGUGUGCUAAUGUGCUAUACCCUGAGACUGAGUGGGGCAGGGAGAUGACAUGGAGCUAUGGAAACAGGUUAGGGACAAAUUGCCCAGGGCUUCAGACCCAUGCUAAGCAUUUUGAUUUUGUUUUGUUUUGUUUUUGAGGUGGAGUCUCUCUCUGUCGCCAGGCUGGAGUGCAAUGGCACAAUUUCGGCUCCCUGCAACCUUCACCUCCCAGGUUCAAGCAAUUCUCUGCCUCAGCCUCCCGAGUAGCUGGGACUACAGGCGCAGGCCACCACGCCCAGCUAAUUUUUUUGUAUUUUUAGUAGAGAUGAGGUUUCACCAUGUUGGCCAGGAUGGUCUUGAUCUCCUGACCUCGUGAUCUGCCUGCCUUGGCCUUCCAAAGUGCUGGGAUUUCAGGUGUGCAUUUUGGUUUUAUCCUAAGUACUCUUCAGUGAGUUUUCAAGAAGAGAGUGAUGUGACAAGAUAUGCAAUUUAGAAACAUCACAGUAUGAAUGGAGACCAGGGGCACUCUGUUGCAAUAGCAAUGUGAAAGAAGAUGGCAGUGUGGACCAGGAUGGUAGCACUGGAGAAGAGUAAGUGGGCAGGCUUGAGAGAUACUCAAGAUGUUGAGUUCAUAGACUUGUGACUUAGAUCAGGGAGAUGAGUAGGAGGCCGACCUGAGUUUUAUGGGGUCUGAAGCUCAUGGAACUGGAGAGCUCUUUCAGAAAUGGAUACUGGAUAUGGGAAGGUCCCAGGAUGACUGUCCAGGUCCUAGGCAUUUUAUACAGGCACAAUGAGGUAUGUACAGAGAAGAGGAGGUAUCUCUUCUCUGCACCUCUUUUUAUUAAGAAGCCACACUUUUCUCAGAAUCCUCCCCAGCAUUCCUUUCAUGCGUAGGAAAUUGGGUAGAAAAUUAGAUAAUUCCUUCCAGUUCUGAGACUCAGUGAUUGUGGUGGGAACAAAACAUUUUAGGAAGCACAAUUCUCAUCAGCAAGCUGAGAAGACAAUCCACAUCUGUACUCUAGUGACAAGAUAUAAUUAUUGUUCAAUAAGAUACUUUUGAUAUAAUUAUGCUGGGACAACAGGGAUAAACGAAAGCUGUCCUUGACAAAUUGGAACAAUGACCACUCUAUCUCUUAUGGACAUACGUGACUGGGUGAGUUCCCUCUCUUCUUCCCACCUCUGAGCUGUCUUCCCUGCCCUUGUAUCCCUGCUGCUGGGCUAUGACUCAUCUUCCUCACUGACCACAGUUGGCACCUCUUUUCCGUCAGCUGACUGGCACUGCAGCAUUUUCCACUGGGGCAAGGAGAAGGCAUGAGCUGUAAGCUCUCAGAAAUAAUCAGGAGCAUGGGGAUUGUUAGCCUUGCUUCUGAUGGAACCCAGACUCAGGCUGGGAAAUUAUUGACAGGAUGUAGUUGGCUAGGAGAUAGUGUCUUUCCAAGUGAGCCGAGAGAACACUGGUCCCUGAAUAUGCUCCAGGAGAAAGGGAUUCUGUCUGGACAAAUGCUGAAAAAUGCACCCCUAAAGAGUCUUAGUACACGCUAGUAUAUAUAAAAGGCUAUUGAGAAGUCCUACAGUGAAAAAAUGCAAAAAACUCAGGUUUUGUCCACAACUGUGCAAGACUUGGGCAUCCUUUUUAAACAUACACACCCCACACCACUGAUAAAUAUCCCAAAGAAUAGACUUGGAGAAACUUUUUAAAAAGAAGACACAUUAACAUCAAGCCAGGAAGGCCAAGAAAUGGGGAGACAAAUAGAAUGGCCCAACAUACUAGAAUACUCCUAGAGUCAAUGUGCUGGUUAUUAACAUAUCUUAGCAUCCCUGGGGAUGAGCCACACAUGAGUUCAUGGGAUUGAUUCUUCAUCCAAAUGUUGCUUGAGUUAUUGGAUUGGUCUGUUGCCUCCUAAGAACGUUGGUUCCUUUCAAAAUAGGUCAAGGAGUGAUGAUUGACAAGGACAACUUCUCUCACCCUUAAAUUUGUUGGGGUUUCCAAAAUUUGAAGAAGCGGUAUAAACUCUCUAGGUGUUCCUGGAAGCAUGAGAUUGCUUAUUAAGGCAUCAGUUUGCAAAAUUUGGAAGUAAAGCUAAAAAGUGAAACAGAGUGAAGGAGCAAAAAGAUAGGGUUGGAUAAACCAGUUUUAAAAUUGCGGCUUAACUGUACAACCUUUGGCAAAUGAUUUAACCUUUCUGAAUCUCAGUUUCCAUAUAUGUAAAAAUACUUCACUUGUAGGAUAAUGCAAGCAUUAGAAAUAACAUGUCUUAUUCAUGAAUUAUCAUUGUGAAAAUAUAGAAAGUGUAUGCUUAAUGCAAAGAAAAUGUUCAGUUAACAAAAGCUUUCCUAUUAUUUCAAAUAACAGAAAAGAAUCUGCAGUAGAUUCCUAUGGUUCAGGAAGGCAUACUCUGUUCAUGGAGCAGAAGGAGCAGAGUGGAUGAUUCAAACUGUCAUGUAUAUUAAUGCUAUUGCCUUGCAAAUUACAAGGCAGUUAGGAAAACAUUUAUCUUCCUUCUCAUGAGGUUAAAAUUGUUUUUAAGAAUAAAUAUUUAUUCCGUGCUAUAAAUAUCUUCUAAAGUGUCAUGUCACCUUUUUUGUCUUGCUAAUAUAAGGCAUAGCUUGGAUGCUGGAAUUACUGCCAGGUUAAAAUCUCAGCUCUACUCCUUGCUAUCUGCAUGACCUUAAGCAAGUAAACAAAACAUGUUACCCCUCAGUGUCUCACUUUCCCAUCCUCAAAAUAAGGACAAUAAUAUUAUUUAUCUCAGAUUCGUUUUUACGAUUCUUGUGAGAAUUUAAUUAAACAAUGCACUGUGCUGUGAAUAUAGUUAAGAAAGAAUCUGUUUUGUAUUGUUAUUAUUGGCAUCUCAAUGCUUUAGAAAUUUUUUUUUGUUUGAAAAUUGUUACUCCAAUUUCUUUCUGGAUGCUAGGAGAAAUCCUUACCAAUUGGAUGUGAGACAAAAUUAAACAAUGAUUUUCUUUAUUCAAUAUCUUCUUUUCCCUCACUUGUUGCCUCUGGCUUUCCUUAGUCCUGGGGAACUGCCUUUUGAGCCUCAACUGUCACUUCAAGGAUUCCUCGUUGCAGUUCAGUCUACACUGGUGAUGAUUAACCCAUUUCCAAUGUGGCAUUAGGAAAGGAAGGUUCACAUUGGAAUGACAAUUCACGAGGCCACAUAAUCUUAGCCAGAGAUAUUUAACAGUAUUUUCAUCUUCUUCAUCGACUCUUACAUUUUCUCCUUUAUUGGAUUUGCAGAUAAGAGCUACAAAUUCAAAUCUGUUUGGUUCUAAAGUCCGUUUUGUUUUCAUGACACCACAAUAAAAACAACAAUCUCACAAAUAAUGAAAACUAACAUUUGCUGAAUAUUUACUUUCUACAGAAACCAUACUUUGCCAGGCAUGGUGGCUCACGCCUAUAAUUCCAGCACUUUGUGAGGCCGAGGCGAGCAGAUCACUUGAGGCCAGGAGUUUGAGACCAGCCUGGCCAACAUGGCAAAACCCUGUCUCAACUGAAAAUACAAAAAUUAGCUGGGCAUGGAGGUGGGCACCUGUAAUCCCAGCUACUCAGGAGACUGAGACAGGAGAAUCAGUUGAACCCAGGAAACAGAGGUUGCAGUGAGCCGAGAUCAUACCACUGCACUCCAGCCUGGGCAACAGAGCAAAACUCCAUCUCAAAAACAAAAACAAAAACAAAACAAAACAAAACAAAAACAACUAAAUUACUUCUCUGCAUUAUCUUAUUUAAUCCUAACAGCAAAUGCAUAAGAGGUAGACUUCAUUGUUGUAUAUGAGUAAAUAAGGCCCAGAAAGGUGAGGUAACCCGCUCAAUGGCACAUAGUUAGAAGGUGGUAGAGCCUGGAUUCAGAUUCAUUUGUGGCUGACUCAAGAGUGCACACCUCUAGCCUUUAAGUUGUUAAUAUAUUUUCAGACAUUUUUGGCCCUUUAAUGAUUAGAAUAGUAUCAUUUACAGCAACUGAUUGAGAAAAGCUAAGGCUUGUGGCUUUUUGGUUUCUGUAAGUAAAAAUAACAACAGCAGGUUCACGGCCAUUCAUUCAUGUCCCAAAAGCUUAUUAAGUGCUAGUAAAGAAUGACCAGAGCCAAGGGCCUAGAUGCUCAGAUAAACAAGAUGGGUUUGAUCCACCUCUGAGACACCUGAUGGGAUGGAUAGGACCUCAUAAGUGGGCUUUCUUCCUUCUAAUUCUCUCUGGCAAGAGAAUUUGAAACAGCCCAUAAAUUUCUUUAUUAUUACAAAUCUCUCUUAACAUUUUGGGCUCAAAAUUUAUACUAUUCAGUAAGCAUUUUCUUAUCCAAAACAGACUGGCAUUAGGCACCCUACCAUGGAACACUCAAAUGAUACUCUUUUCUAUGAAUGUGACUAUGAACUGGAAAUUAUGCAUGAUAUGUGGGGAGCACUGGACCCUCCCCAAGAAUGAGUUUUGAGCUGAGCCCUGGUGGUGCCUGGAAUAGGAGAAGUGAUGAUGCAAGAAGUGUUGUAAAAUAUGUAAGACAGAACUAAGGCCAAAGGGUACUCUCCUCUCACUGAGACAUCAUCGAGGUUUAUAAAUCACCUGUCACUGGGGCCACUAGGGACAGGGAUACAGGAAAUGAAGGGAUCAAUCAUGACAACCCUGCAGGAAGAAAUUCGAGGAUGUUUUCCUCUAUCCUCUUCUAAGAACAAGAAUUCCUUUCAAGAUUGGGGGUCCCUGUUCAGAUACAUAUUUAAUGAAGAUACUCUCAAUAUGGGGGUGUAUAGAGAUGGGGUGCAUAUGGAUGUGGAGGAGAGAGAAAGUGCUUUAUGGCAUUCCAGCCAAAUUGACUGAAAGUGGCACACAUGGUAGAGAGAACCGGUAUAGAAACCAGGAAAGUGGUCUCUGCCUCCCUGGCACAUGCCAUGAGAAUGAUGGGCGCAUAAUGACUUCAGUCACCUCCUUUUACUGGUACAUUAAUGAUAGAGUAAUGCUUAUAAAAUAUGUACAUAUAGCAACAACAUACAGGCUUAGUUAGACUGUUCUCUCUCAGGAUGGCUCUGCUUCGUGCUAUGAGUUGGCUGGGCUUGGUUCCAGAAUGUGGUUUUGAUUUACAUCUGGUUCAUAUACAUCUGUUCUGGAAACCAGGCUUAAGGGGCAGUAGCUCCUGGGGCACACUCUCCUCACAGCGCUGGGUCACUGAAAAGCAAGGGCCAAGCCAAACUGUGCAAGCACAUUUGAGGCCUCUGCUUGCAUCACAUUCAUUAAUAUUCCAUUGGCCAAAGUAGAUUGCAUGGUCAACAUCAGUGGUCCAAGAAAGUAUACUCUGUCCACAGGGGCAGAGGGAACAGAGUGGAUAAUUCAAACAAUCAUUUAUAUGAAUGUUAUAGCUUUGCAAAUUACAAGGCAGUUGGAAGGCAUUUCUCUUCCUCCUCAUGAGUUUAAACUUGUAUUUAAGAAUUAAUCUGUAUCCUUUGUACACGUGCAUGUAUUUGUGUUUGUACUCACAGCAUGUACAUGGUUAAUCCAAUAGUUACCAGAUGGACAUUCAAAAGAAAGUAGAGACCAUCUAUGGAAAUUGUUUUAUGUACAACACAAACACACACAAACUAUUUCUGUAUAUAUAUAUACAUAUAUAUACACACACACAUAUGAAAUUCAGCCUUUAAAAGGAGCUCUUGCCACUUGCAAUAAAUGAAUGAACCUAGAGUAUAUUAUGCUAAGAGAAAUAAGCCAGACACAGAAAGAAAAAUGCUGCAUAAUGUCACUUAUAUGUGGAAUUUUUAAAAAGUCAAAUAGAUGGAAAUGUAGAGUAGAAUGGUUUUUGCAGUGGGGUGGGAGAGGUGGGGGGAAAUGGGGAGAUAUAGGUCAAAUAGUAUAAUGUUGUAGUUAUGUAGGAUAAAAGUCUAGAGAUGUGAUGUACAGCAUGAGGACUAUAGUUAAUAAAAAUGUAUUACAUACUGGAAAUUUGCUUAAAGAGUUUUCUUAGCAUUUAGGUGCUUUUACCACAAAAGAAAAAAGGUAACUGAGAGAAUGGAUAUGUUAAUUUGCUUGACUGUAAUCAUCUUUUCACUAUGUAUUUAUAUAUCACAAUAUCACAUUGUACACCUUAAAUAUGUACAAUCAAUCAAUUAAUCGAUUAAUCAAUGAAAUGAAAAUAGAGAUAUAUCUUCAACUAAUCCUGAUGGAAAGAAGUCCUUCUGGAAUUUCUGAAAGAUCAUUCUAGUUUUACUGAAUGAUUAUGACUUAGGAGAAAUGAAUGGAUUCUGGGGAAAAACCAGUUCCCAAGGGGAGAAAGGUCAGAUUCUGAGAUGGUGGGUCGAAAUUCCAGGAAUGGAAGUUUGAAGCAAGAGAGAGAAGUGGGCCUGAAGUUCAGAAAUCAAAGUUGGGAAUUGGGGCCUGGCACAGUAGCUGAUGCCUGUAAUCCCAGCACUUUGGGAGGCUGGGGCAGGUGGAUCACCUGAGCCCAAAAGUUUGAGACCAGCCUGGGCAACAUGACGAAACCUGUCCCUACAAAAAACACAAAAAUUAGCUGGGUGUGGCGGUGCACACCUGUAGUCCCAGCUACAAGGGAGGCUGAGGUGGGAAGAUCGUUUGAGCCUGGGAUGUGGAGGCUGCAGUGAGCCAUGAUCAUGCCAUUGCACUGUAGUCCGGGCAAAAGAGUGAGACUCUAGCAAAAGAAAAAAAAAAAGUUGGAACUUUGAGGGUUCUAAUGAGAGAACCUCUGGGAAGGAUUUCACACUUAGCUGCUUUACUCUAGCCUGUAAACUAAGUCCUAUUUGGUGAAAUGUUGGGAAUCAUUUCUCUUACAUGUAGUAAGUCUGUUUAGUUUAGUUUAGAUAGUUUGUUCAUUUCUCAACAUUUCAGUUAAGGCUCAGUCAUACAGCUUUGCAUGUUGUCAAGAAAGUGAAGGAUGGGCUAGAGAGGAAAAUAAAACAUACCUUGUUCAGGUAGAUUCUUAAAUUGACUCCAAGAAAGCCCAAUUUCCUAAAAAGGAAUUAACUCCUUAAUGUAAACUGUCAGCUUUUCUUUUGUAUAGUCCAUUUGGGAAACACAAUAAAAGAGGGAGAUCUUGUUUGUGGUGGAAACAUGAGCUUUUUUUCUUUUGACUUAGUGAGAAACAAUUUAUUUUUCUGAUUUAUAAGCAUAUUUUACAUAUUCUGGUCAAUACAUCAAAUGUAUAAUGUGGAAGUUCCCUUAAGAAUACCAAGACCACACAUGUUAAACUCAGCUACAUGUUGUAUUAGGCUAUUAGACAAAUGUCACUUUUAAUAUCACAACACAUACAUGUACUUUUUUUCAUUGACAGAGGAACAUGCCUUUCAAAAAUAUUUUAUUGGGUGAAACUUUCUUAUUCUCAGGAAAACUUUUGGUUCUUUAAUAUAAUUUAUUAUGCUCUUUAAAAUUCUGUUUGAUAAAAGCAUUGGUAUAUUAUAAAUACCUGUAAAGAAAAUAUAGUUUAAAAUUUCAAGGGAAAUAGUAUAUAAGUUUUCUCUUUGACAUUUUCACAAAAAUCCACACAGGCACUAAGAAAGACUGACAAAACUGUUUUAUAUCUGAAUAUUAUACUCCAGGUUGGAAACAUUCAAUAUGAUUUUAUUUAAAUAUUAAAGCUUCUUGAGAGUGAACCUUUGGCUACAACCCAAUGAGUUGGCUGGGGUUUUAACCCAGAAAAUAUUUUGUUAGGAAGAAUCAAAAGAAAGAUUUAUACAUCUAGCACUAGAUUGGGAAUGGAAAAGUAAUGAGUUUUCAUUCUAACUCUUUAUUGGCCUUUCCGGGCCAAUCUAAGAAUUCUCUGGUCCUUUUUAGUUUUAAUACUUUUUGAUAUGCUCCAAUAUUGGAAAUUCUAUCUAACACUUCAUAUCAAACAAUAUAUGAAACUUCCAAGGACAGAGUGAUUCCGCAAGUCUUUUAGGAGAACAUUCUCUAAGCAUUACGGGCAUUGCUCUGCAAACACCCUCUACACAAAUUCAAAUGGUAGAAGAGCAGGUGAAAAUUUGUGUUACCAACCAUACUUCAAGCCAAAGCAAAUGACAGACUCUAGUGUUCUUUUCAUGAACCAGUUCAAUGCCAUGAAUUACCUUAUGAAGUUCAAACUUCAUGGAAAAAUUGCAAACAGCAAACUCAGUGGGAGAAAGCCAGCAUUGUAGGUGACUGGAGACUUUGUAAGCAUAUUGAGAGAAGGAAGCCAGAAGGUUAGUAAUAAAUGAAUUAGUAUUAGUGAUCAUCCAGGUGAGGUGAGAUUACAUAAGCAAACUCAUAAUUAUUAUUGUACAGAUCCUGCCUAACAGAAGAUGCGGGUAGUUUGUUUUUCCUAAUGCAUUUACACUUUGUACACAUUCGCUUAGUGUAGGAGUGGGCAAAAUCAAAUGCCUAUUGGAUACUGCCCAGCAAGGAAUCAAGUGCCUGCUCUAGGUAACAUGGAGCAGGGUGCCAUGGGGACUGAGAGUCAUCUAAUCAGGCAGCUGCUACUCAGCUCCAGCUAACUGUUGCCAUGAGCAAAGAUGGGUCCGAGAAUGAGGUUUUAUGUGAAACAUCAUAUUUUCAAUAACCACUCAUAUUUUAAAAACAUUCUGCAUACCAAACAAAAUCUACCUGAGGGACAAUUAAGGUCCAUGGCCUGCCAGUUUCUGCUUCUGAUUUGAAGCUUAGGAGCAAUUUGGUGAGAAUUUGGACACUAUCAGUGAUAGGAUUGGAGAAGAACUUUUAGUAUCAAGGAAUAAACAUUCAGUUUCAAAUACUUAGAACACGCUGUUCUAAUGAACACAGUUGGAAAAAAACAAAAACAAAACUUCUCUUGGUUUCUCCCUAUUAUGAGUAUUUUUCUAUUAUUACAUUAGGUCUCCAUGUGAUAAGUGGUUUCCUGUUACUGCUGAAAAAAAUUGUGACUAGGAAUUUGCCAAGUCCCAAGUGUAAGUUUUUUUUUUUCUGGGAAAGUGGUAUAUAUCAUUUCUCCCAACAUUUAUUUUGUGGCUGAGAAAGGAGACAGGUAUAGAAAACUUUCAGAAGGAGAAACAGAGGAAAGACCAGGCAUGCAGCACGAGUCAUAACCACCUCUGGAUCCACGGACGCCUCUGGCACCACAGACACAGUGCACCAGGCAAAGAAUGUUCGAAAAUUGCUCAAACCAGAGCAUUCAGAUUUCAAGAUCUGUUUCUAGAUCUAAAUAAUCCAGCUUUUGACCAACAUGACCAGAUUUUGACUACAGGAAUGAGUGGCACUUUGGAAUAGAAAGAUCUAGGGAAUGAGUCUUACAGUGAACUCCUUCAUUAGGCCUACCAAAUACUUUCUUGGCAUCAAAAUUUGAAGAACCACAUGGACAAGACAGGGAACAAGCUACAGAAACAGUUUCUGACUCCUUCUCAUUCUUUGCAGAUUAUGUUUUCAAAUUAAUUGAUAUCCCAGGUUUUGCCUUUUCUUUUGAGAAUUGAAAUGGGCUCUAAUGCAGUGUUCUAAUGUAGUGUAAGAGCUUUUUGUCAACUGUGACUCCAGAAAGAACAAAACACUUCACUUGUGCAGACAGGAAAGAUGUGUUUUGAAAUACCUAUGAUCAAUUCUGGAAGUUGAACUUCCUGCUUGAGCUCAUCCCCUUCACAUGUACAGUUUAGGGAGAAAAAGAAAAGGUGCCACAAAGGAUAUUAUAAGCAUAAGAAUUCAUGACAAAACAACCACUUCAGACACAGGCAAAAUCGCAGGGUAAGGAAGAAGCAUGAAUAUUUCCAACUUGGGACCACACACUUAUUUUAAUUUUCCUCAUUCAGAAUGUCCACCAGAGCUUGAAGCAGCCGGUCGUCUCUGUGCUUGUAAGGUUUAGUGUUAUAAAAAACAUCAACAUAGUCAUUAUACAGACUGUCUUCAGAGUCUUUAAGCUGGGAAGGUUUGUUCAGCUUUUCCAGGGCUUCGUAGAAGUUUUCAUAAGGGAUGUUGAGCUUUGCACUUGGGGACUUCUUUGGUGAUUGCUUUGGCGGUGAGUUUUUACUGAAAGCACUUUGCAGGAGUCGCAGCAUGGCCUGGGAAGGGGCUCCCUCCUCCAACUCAUCCCUCCGGCCCCCUACGCUGCUGCUGCUGGGGCUUUUGGACACCAGGGUGUUCUCCUUAGGGUUCUCUUGUGUGGGCUGCUCCUAAAACAUAGAAUGCCAUCCACAAAGGGAAGAAGGUUCAUUAUUUAUGGCCAGGCAAGCUAGUUGCAACCCUACCACAGGAACGCUGCCUGCCGCUUGAGAGGCAAUGAGGGGAGGGGAGAGAGUUCAAGACUGGGAGCCACAUGGACUUGGGCUUCAACCCUCAUUUGCCUACCCUCUGGGGUACCUUUAACAACCUUUUUAAUCUCCCUCAACUUCACCUGUCAGGUGGAAUAAGAGUACCUCCAUUUGUGGUGGUUUUGAAGACUAGAUGAGACUGUAUAGGGCCAGAGCGAAGAUGCCAGCAGCCAGAGGUGCAGAGGCCGAGGUGCCUGUGUGCGUCUCCGUGCAGUCAUUGUGCAGGUCAGCGCUCGUCUGGAUGACGUCAGGAAGGAGAGAAAGGCAGGGAGAACACGUGAGGAGUGUGGGCCUGUCUUGGGGGUUAACUGUACCAAAGGCUGCAUCUGCUAUGACCAGGAAACUCAGCUGAUUCGAUUGCCUACUUUCUCCUCUAAACCACAGGCGGAUGUUUGCCAUCUGCUGAUAUUUUAGUUCACCCUCUAUAUGCAACUUCUCUAUAAUUCUGGCAGCAAGAUGCCUUUUCUGGGGAUGAAGUACUCCCACUACGAAUAUUUUCUUUUCUGAGAUUCCCAAACGAAAUGCUGUCUAUAAAAAACAAAGUUUCAAAAUCACUGUGAAUCAUGCUGGCCCAUUAAUCAUCGGGUCCAUUGUGUUUGGUCUGGCAUAUUUAGAAAUUCUGUCUCAUACAAAAUUCCCUUUUGCCUUCAGAUUGACAUUUGGCUGCCUCUUCAGCCCAAGGAUAUGAAGACAUCCUGGCCUUAGCCAUUUGAACUACUUGCACAAAAAAUGCUUAAUAUGUAGUUUGCACUCACUGUUGAACUAGAUUUGAUACCUGUGAGUUGGUGUCCACAUUUACACUUUGAGGAAAACGAUGGGUCUUUAAAAUGGAAAGUGUGCUGGACUUAGUUCUGGGUUCAAAUUCUCUAACUGCUACUUAAUAGAUUUGUCCUCGGGCAAGUCAUUUGGCUCCCCAUCUGUAAAAUGCGAUUUAUAUUUUCUGACUCAUAUGCGAGACUUACCCGAGAUGUUCUCUGUGAAAGUAGUUUUACAUAAUUUUCUUGCAAGUAAGGAAUUACCCUGGCUAACUUUAGGGUAAUGAAGAGAUUGCUGAGAUGAAGGGAAGAAACUGAAAAGACUUCCUGUCUGCCUUAAGGACCACGGCGCUGCUGGUUGGGCCAAGGGAUUACUAACAAGACACCCACCCAGGCUCCAGCACCGAAGUUCUAGCUCGAGAUUUCGAUGUGUGGGAGGGAGGUGUAAAAAAAUAAUUUGUUCUAUUAUCACCUCCAUUGGCUUCCUGCUUGGAGUUGCUGAAUUUCUCAAGUUAUGAUGGCUCUGCUCCUCAGAGGGCUGCGGAAGCAAGGUUGCCCUUUUUACCUGUUGACGCAAGCAAGCCCCCAGAGAUGACUAUGCUGAGGAAAAGGUUUGCGUAAGAAAAAGGUUAUGUUACUGAGACUGUCUCAAAUAGAAUCCACCAGCUGUCUCUCCUAAGGCUGGCUUUCUUAAGGAGGGAGUUUUACAAAGAUAGAAAAUCUUUCUUCUGCUUCAGUGCAGGUUACCCAAGAUAAGGAACAGUCUGUGAAAUGGUGAUUCUGAAAUGCCCAACAGGCCAUUUUCUAAAGGCAGCUCUGGACACCCAGGGAAAUGACAACAGCCAGGGGCUCUGAAGACAAGUGGGGCAGAUGUCUGAUAUGCCCCUUUCAAACCCUUUAAAAUGUGCCUGCCAUAAAACCCCUCGGUAGAAUGCCACUGUCUAUUACUUGAGUAGCUGAAGAGAUGCGCGUGAGAAGCAGGCCCACACUUCUAAGUUGAGACCACAGCUUUACUGUCUAAACUAGCUUGCAGAAGUGAUCCUGUAUGAAGAAGAUGUUCGUGUUGACAAUUUUGUUGAGAUGCCAUUAAUAGGAAUCUUGCACGCAUUCCAAGGUCAUUAUUAUAGGGUUCACCCACCCUCUAAUUAGAUCAUGACCUGCUAUUUCACUGAGAUAGGAUCUAUAUACUUUAGCUAGUUGGUCCUUUCUGUGUCAGGAGUUAAAUUGGGGGCCUUACAUUUUUUAAAUUAAAGGUGUCUCCCUUUGUUCUCAAAGCCCCUAAAUGCCCCUCCAUCGUCAUGCCCUUGAAGGGAAAUCCAGUAAUUGCCCUUGGCCGUCUGACUCAUGGAAGCAAAGGCGCAGGCAAGCGUGGGCUGGAGGAGCUCUCUGAGCAUACGACCUCCCCGAGCUGCUUACCCAGAUGCUGAGCAGUUCACCUCAGGGGACACUGAAACUGCUAUUUUCCUGCAGGUCAUCCAUUCUUAGGAGACAUAGCUGGUGUAGACUCUGUAUUUUUAUCAUCUGCGACAGGGCAGGUCAGACUAUAUCCCUGCUGUUAAAGGAUCAGCAAGUACAAGGGUGAUAAAGCCCCUACAACCCUGAGAUCUCCUUUAAGGCUGUUUCCAGGGAGGCAUCAGACAAGCAGAAAAGACAUUUGGAGUCUCCGCUGUGUGUAAUGACAGGUUUGGUGGCUUCUCAAGGCUGGGUUUAAAAAUGACAGAGGGGAAGAUCAUCUUGGCAGAAGUGUCAUUAUCCCUGGAGAGAAAACUUUCUGAUGGAUGCCAGCCUUUCAAGUGAGUAAGUGUGAGUUCUCCCAACUGAGACAUCAAGCUUAAGCGAAUCAGUCGUACCAAAGGUCAGUUAGGGGAAUCAUUUCACAUGCAUGCCACGCUCUCCUAACUAAGCAGAGAGAAUUAGACAAAAGCAACAUACGAUUCUCUGGUCGGUGUAAUCUCCGCUGCUGUAAGAGGUGGCCAGUGUGGAGGAGCACUUCUCAGCGUACCAGGGGGAUAGGCCUUGCUGGGAGGCACUGCUGAUGGAGAUGGUGUAGAUGCUGUCUGUGUAGCCAUCACAGUCACAAUUAUCUCCCUGACGCCCCCCGUUUCCCGAAGCCCAGACGAAGAUGGACCCCUUCCCCUGUCUCCCCUAAAGGAAAAGCCAGAAUGCAUAUUAUCUGUUAUCAUCUAUUGGGGUCAUUGUUAUAUCCCAAUAAAAUCCCCAACGACUACAUGUGUGAAAUUCUCAGAGACAGCUAUUUGGGAUCUAUUUUCAAUUCCAGAUCUUUUGGCUUCGAUAUUGGAAAUCUCACAAGGCUGUGUAUUAUAAGCCACUGGACUCUGGCCCUGCCAGUCUCUGGGCCCUCCUGGGGUAGGGCUGAGCACACGCUUUUCUUUCUUAUGCAGAUUCAUAAUCUAGCGUUUUGCACUUGCUCAUAUUUUUCCACCCUUCUCUUAGUUUAUGUCACUGCACUUAAAUCUUUGAACUUCCUCUCUUUCUUUCUGCUUCAAUCUUCUGGCUGACUGAUAGAAUGACAAAAUUAGGAAUUAUUCAGAUCUGCCUUGCAGCUGCAUUAAAAGGGACUCUUCAAUUGAAUGGAACUCGUCAAAGCCGCCCUUUCUAUGAUUUUUCAAUUUGUGCUCUCCAGAGUUUCUACUUUUGUUUCAUCUUAUGGAGCACAAGGCUUUAGAAUCUGUGCAAGAAUACAGUAAACCCAAGUGACAGAGCAAUCCAACCAAGGCACAGGUAUUCAACAGGCACGUGCAGAGCAGAAGGCAACACGUUUCUAUAUUUGAAAAGCAUUUCCGCGCUUGGAAGAAGACUGAGUAGUUUUUUACUAGUGUAAAAACCCAAAAGCAGCAGGAAAAUGAGUAAGGAGAAAGAAAUGUCCAGAAGCACUUUUAAAAUAAAUAUGCUAAAAGUAAUAAAUUUCCAUUCAACCUCAGACCCAAAUAGGGAAAAUUCAUUUUAUUUAUUUAUAUUUAGUUUUGAGGCAGGGUCUCACUCUGUCACCCAGGCUGGAGUGCAAUGCUGCAAUCUCAGCUCACUGCUACCUCCGCCUUCUGGGUUCAAGCAAUUCUUGUGCCUCAGCCUCCCGAGUAGCUGGGACUAUAGGCAUCUAAGUUGAGACCACAGUUUCACUGUCUAAACUAGGUUGCAGAACAGUGCAACCUAGUUACACCUGGCUAAUUUUUGUGUUUUUAGUAGAGGUGGGGUUUCUCCAUAUUGGCCACUCCUGGCCUCAAUUGAUCUGCCUCCCUUGGCCAUCGCGCCUGGCCACAAAUAGGGAAAACUUUCUUAAGCCUUAACUCCCAUCCCUCUGAAGAAUGAUUUGGCCCUCUAAGUGCAUUUAAAAUUGUAAAGGACUUUGUUAAGAAAUCCACAACAAUGUUAUUCCAUGUAACCUAAGUGUUCUUUCCUUCUCCUCAUAUCCAGAUGGUCAGGUUUCAUUUCAUGUGGGUCUGUGUAAAGCAUCUUACCUGUUUGACACCAUAUUCAAAAGCCUUCUGGGCUAGCCGGCCAGGCCCCUCCACAGUUUUCCCAUCAUCAUUAGGGCCCCAGCUUGCACUGUAAAUAUCCACGUGUCCAGGAUUGAAUCCAAUUGAACUGGCCUCAAUAGCAUCCGUCACAAUGCCAUCCAGCAUUCUUAUGCCUGAGAAACAAAAUAAACAAAGACACACAAAGGUUGAUGUCAGUAUGUACAUGGACAAAAGCCCAAUACUCUUACUAUUUGUAUUUUUAAAGGAUUUUAAGAGUCAAAAACCAGGUAACUACUAGAUAGAUGUCCCCAAUUUCUGUAACCCAGCUACUGACACCACAGAAGGAAGGAACAUGUUGCUGCCCCCAUAAGCUUUUUUGUCGCACUUUAGAGAUAAUACUAUGCAAUACCAUGCACUGUGUAGGCAGCUGUGAUGUUUUUUUUUUUUUUUUUUUUUUUGGUCCCACUCAAGGCUCUCUUCCCAGCAAAAGCUCUGGGCAUUGAGUCUGAAGUGGAGCAGCAUCCUUGGAUGAGAGGAAGUGGCCGUGAUUGUUGUCAAUUACAAAAUGUUUGCCCUCCCUCCCACCCCAACUAAAUGACAGACCAGCUUUCAGAAAGACCCUCCAAGCAGCCCUCUGGUGAUGCACCUCCUCAUGGCUGUCCCACAAAUGGCUGUGGCCCAGUCUACGCCACACAAGGACUCUGGACAGGAAACAUGUAGCUUCAAAAGAUCUAGUCACAACAGGAAACUAACAAAUAGGGAAAGCACUUUUGUUUCUAAGCCCUGAUUAAAAAUAACCCAGAGGCCAUCCUUUCAUGUGUUUGCUAAGAAACAUUUUCAAGGAACAUGCUUCCUAUUCUUCUAAAUAAUCUCAAGGAUGAAAUCAUUGCCAUGGAUUUCACCCCCAAGGGGAAUCAUUUUUCAUCAGGACAAUGUAGGUGCGGUAGCUCUUUGUGCUUUCCAACAGGCUGUCACCCGUCAUCAGACUUAUGAAUUCAAGAGCCAGGAAGGCAAAAACAAUCUGGACAGAUUACAGGCAGCUACCUGGUUAUUUCUGGCUUCAGGCUCAUAAUACAAUAAAGUGCACAGCCUUAGAUUUUCACACUUAUUUACUAUGGAGCAAAGGUAAAAUGAUAUGAAAUUGAUAUGAUCAGUGAAAGUUGUAUUUGUAAAAAAGAAAUUGUUCAAAAAUGCAUUUAGAGCCAGGCGCAGUGGCUCAUGCCUUUAAUACCAACACUUUGGGAGGCCGAGGUGGGUGGAUCACUUGAGGCCAGGAGUUCAAGACCAGCCUGGCCAACAUGGAGAAACCCCAUCUUUACUAAAAAUACAAAAAUUAGUCAGGCAUGCUGGCACGCACCUAUAAUCCCAGCUACUCAGGAGGCUGAGGCACAAGAAAUGCUUGAACCUGGGAGGCAGAGGUUGCAGUGAGCUAAGAUUGCAACCACUGCACUCCAGCCUGGGCAACAGAGCAAGACUCUGUCUCAAAAAAAAAAAAAAAAAAUGCAUUUAGAAAAAAAAUCGGCCAGGUGCGGUGGCUCACGCCUGUAAUCCCAGCACUUUGGGAGGCCGAGGCGGGCGGAUCACGAGGUCAAGAGAUCGAGACCAUCCUGGCUAACAUGAUGAAACCCUGUCU